CCUACGGGCGGCAGCAGUGAGGAAUAUUGGUCAAUGGACGAGAGUCUGAACCAGCCAAGUAGCGUGAAGGAUGACUGCCCUAUGGGUUGUAAACUUCUUUUAUAAAGGAAUAAAACGAGCCACGUGUGCCUUUUUGCAUGUACUUUAUGAAUAAGGAUCGGCUAACUCCGUGCCAGCAGCCGCGGUAAUACGGAGGAUCCGAGCGUUAUCCGGAUUUAUUGGGUUUAAAGGGAGCGUAGAUGGGUUGUUAAGUCAGUUGUGAAAGUUUGCGGCUCAACCGUAAAAUUGCAAUUGAUACUGGCAGUCUUGAGUACAGUUGAGGUAAGCGGAAUUCGUGGUGUAGCGGUGAAAUGCUUAGAUAUCACGAAGAACCCCGAUUGCGAAGGCAGCUUACUAAACUGUGACUGACAUUGAUGCUCGAAAGCGUGGGUAGCAAACAGGAUUAGAUACCCUUGUAGUC
This 460-nucleotide ribosomal RNA is filed under the name uncultured bacterium. RNAcentral's name for it is "partial 16S ribosomal RNA". It matches the Rfam family "Bacterial small subunit ribosomal RNA", at positions 338 to 795 of the family's 1533-position model. The record is from RNAcentral.